UGCGUAGGUGGCGGGGUAAGUCUGGUGUGAAAUCUCCGAGCUCAACUCGGAAAAGCAUUGGAAACUAUCCCGCUAGAGGGUCGGAGGGGAGACUGGAAUUCUCGGUGUAGCAGUGAAAUGCGUAGAUAUCGAGAGGAACACCAGUGGCGAAGGCGAGUCUCUGGACGACUCCUGACACUGAGGCACGAAAGGCUAGGGGAGGCAAACA
This 208-nucleotide ribosomal RNA is filed under the name uncultured bacterium. RNAcentral describes it as "partial 16S ribosomal RNA". It matches the Rfam family "Bacterial small subunit ribosomal RNA", at positions 568 to 774 of the family's 1533-position model. The record is from RNAcentral.